ACUGCCGCCACGAGACGGAAUUCGUGGUUAAAGGGUGUAGGGAAACCGAAGCCCGACAGUACCGCAAGGCCCCGGCCGAGCGGAUAGUGCAGGUAAUCAAGCUGCCUAGAAAAGCUCCUAAGCUUCAGAUGCAAAUACCAGUACCGUAAGCCGACACAGGUGGUCGAGGAGAGUAUCCUAAGGCGCUCGAGUGAUUCACAGCUAAGGAACUCGGCAAAUUCGUCCUGUAACUUCGGGAGAAGGGACGCCUACCCUCGCGAGAGGGAGGCCGCAGUGAAGAGGCCCAGGCGACUGUUUAGCAAAAACACAUGGCUUUGCGAAUUCGAAAGACGACGUAUAAGGCCUGACACCUGCCCGGUGCUGGAAGGUUAAGAGGGGGGGUCAUCCGCAAGGAGAAGCUCUGAAUCGAAGCCCCAGUAAACGGCGGCCGUAACUAUAACGGUCCUAAGGUAGCGAGAUUCCUUGUCGGGUAAGUUCCGACCUGCACGAAUGGUGUAACGAUCUGGGCACUGUCUCGGCUGUGAGCUCGGUGAAAUUGUACUGCCGGUGAAGAUGCCGGCUACCCGCAAUGGGACGAAAAGACCCCGUGAACCUUCACUACAGCUUUGCAUUGACAACGGGCCAGGGAUGUGUAGGAUAGGUGGGAGGCUGCGAACCGGUAUCGCCAGGUAUCGGGGAGCCAGCGGUGAAAUACCACCCUUCCCUUGCUUGUUGCCUAACCCCGCGAGGGAGACAGUGCAUGGCGGGUAGUUUGACUGGGGUGGUCGCCUCCAAAAGGGUAACGGAGGCUUCCAAAGGUCUGCUCAGCACGCUUGGUAACCGUGCGUAGAGUGCAAUAGCAUAAGCAGGCUUGACUGAGAGACUUACAAGUCGCACAGGUAGGAAACUAGGGUAUAGUGAUCCGGCGGUACCGCGUGGAAGGGCCGUCGCUCAAAGGAUAAAAGGUACUCCGGGGAUAACAGGCUGAUCUCCCCCAAGAGCUCAUAUCGACGGGGAGGUUUGGCACCUCGAUGUCGGCUCGUCACAUCCUGGGGCUGGAGAAGGUCCCAAGGGUUCGGCUGUUCGCCGAUUAAAGUGGCACGCGAGCUGGGUUCAGAACGUCGCGAGACAGUUCGGUCUCUAUCUAUUGCGGGCGUUAGACGUUAGAGAGGGGCUGGCCUUAGUACGAGAGGACCGGGUCGGACGAACCUCUGGUGCACCUGUUGUGACGCCAGUUGCAGCGCAGGGUAGCUAUGUUCGGAAGAGGUAAGCACUGAAAGCAUCUAAGUGCGAAACUCGCCUCAAGAUGAGACGUCUUUAUAAGGGUCCUGGGAGACGACCAGGUUGAUAGGGUGUAGGUGUAAGCGUGGAGACAUGCUCAGCCAAGCACUACUAAUUACCC
Molecule: ribosomal RNA, 1381 nt
Filed under: metagenome
Description: bacterial LSU rRNA
Rfam family: Bacterial large subunit ribosomal RNA
Source: RNAcentral